AUUUGUUUUUAAAAUAACAAUUUUUCUCCACUGUCAAAUGCAAACAAUCCAAAUUUCAGUAUAAUGCAUUAACCCUUUUGGACAGUGCUACAAAUUGAAGCAGAAUUCACAUUUGCACUAAUUUUCAAUAAAUCAUUAUUUCAAUUAUCAUUAUCACAAGUAAAUGAAUCUAAGUAAUACGCGAUUGUAAAAUUAUGAGUGUCCCUAUGUAUUUUCCGUGUUUAGUUGUCCAAAAUCUUAUGAAACAGCUAAUUGUUGACACUAAGCGCUAUCAAUCCCAACAAUAUGGUUUCAAACCAAGUUUUAAAAUUAACUAUGGACUUGAUGCCAUGCAAGUGGUUGCACUACAUCAUUAUCCAGAGUUAGUUGAUCAGUGCUGUGAUUUGGUGAAUUCUGAGUGGAAGCGCAGCCGGACUGCGAGGAUGCGGAGCUUUGAGAGCUCCUGUGACAAGCUACCCACGAAUUUAGUCCUUGUGCAAGAAGCAAAUGUCAUUGGCCACUCAAAACUUUCAGUAAUUCCAUCCAUGCCAGAUGCAUGCUUUCUGGAAUCAGUUGUUAUUGACAAGGAGUUAAGAGGCAAAGGAUAUGGAAAAUAUUUGAUGAAUCGGAUUGAGGAGCAUUGCCGAAGAAUAGGUUUGCGCAUGAUAUUUUUAUCAACCAAAGACAAAGUGGAAUUUUAUGAGAAAUUAGGCUAUGAUAUGUGUGGCCCGGUUUCGAUAUAUGGACAAUAUGUUCGAACGCAAAUGCCAAGUUCUGUUAGACCAAUGCCGCCAAAUAUAGGUAAAAACGGUUGUGCGGCGACACCGCAACCGGCACCACCGCCACCUCCUCCUCCACCAGAAUUAUACAAUGGUGCAGAUCCCAAAAAGAAGAAUUUUAUGAGUAAGGUGUUGUGAUGAACAAUGUUUGUCUUUUUGCACAGUUACUUAAUACCGUCUCCUGUCAAGUACAAUUAGCACAUCCACAGACUUCAAAAUGACUUGUUAAGCCCUCUGGCAUGUUCUUUGAUCACAAGAAACAGAAAAUUGUUAAUUGUUUAGAUUUGUGGAAAAUCAAGGGUCUAAUGGUGUCGCUGUCAAAUUUGCGUUUAAGUGCUUAUACGUAUUGUUUUAAUACAAAUUUACUUUUAUUUUAAAGUUAAUAAAAUUUGCAUACACUAAAAA
Long non-coding RNA from Dalotia coriaria, 1163 nucleotides. RefSeq lists it as uncharacterized. NCBI's taxonomy places the organism in Eukaryota, Metazoa, Arthropoda, Insecta, Coleoptera, Staphylinidae. The transcript is spliced from 2 exons. The record is from RefSeq and is a predicted model, not a curated record.